GGAAGUAAAAGUCGUAACUAGGUCUCCGUUGGUGAACCAGCGGAGGGAUCAUUACCGAGUUUACAACUCCCAAACCCAAUGUGAACCAUACCAAACUGUUGCCUCGGCGGGGUCACGCCCCGGGUGCGUCGCAGCCCCGGAACCAGGCGCCCGCCGGAGGGACCAACCAAACUCUUUAUGUAGUCCCCUCGCGGACGUUAUUUCUUACAGCUCUGAGCAAAAAUUCAAAUGAAUCAAAACUUUCAACAACGGAUCUCUUGGUUCUG
Molecule: unclassified non-coding RNA, 266 nt
Filed under: plant metagenome
Description: partial contains small subunit ribosomal RNA, internal transcribed spacer 1, and 5.8S ribosomal RNA
Rfam family: Eukaryotic small subunit ribosomal RNA (bases 1-54)
Source: RNAcentral